This 74-nucleotide ribosomal RNA is filed under the name Pistacia terebinthus (terebinth). The record is from RNAcentral. Lineage: Eukaryota; Viridiplantae; Streptophyta; Magnoliopsida; Sapindales; Anacardiaceae.
UUAAGUUUUGUUUGGCUUGGGCGAGAGUAGUACUAGGAUGGGUGACCUCCUGGGAAGUCCUCGUGUUGCACCCC